RNAcentral lists this ribosomal RNA (467 nucleotides) under uncultured bacterium. Its description in RNAcentral is "bacterial SSU rRNA". It matches the Rfam family "Bacterial small subunit ribosomal RNA", at positions 28 to 507 of the family's 1533-position model. The record is from RNAcentral.
GACGAACGCUGGCGGCGUGCCUAACACAUGCAAGUCGAGCGGGGAGGAGGAAGCUUGCUUCCGAAUCCUAGCGGCGGACGGGUGAGUAACGCGUGAGCAACCUGCCUCUUACAGGGGGAUAACGCAUCGAAAGAUGUGCUAAUACCGCGUAAGACCACAGUACCGCAUGGUACAGAGGUCAAAGGAGCAAUCCGGUAAGAGAUGGGCUCGCGUCCGAUUAGCUAGUUGGUGGGGUAAUGGCCUACCAAGGCGACGAUCAGUAGCCGGACUGAGAGGUUGAACGGCCACAUUGGGACUGAGAUACGGCCCAGACUCCUACGGGAGGCAGCAGUCGGGAAUAUUGCGCAAUGGAGGAAACUCUGACGCAGUGACGCCGCGUAUAGGAAGAAGGUUUUCGGAUUGUAAACUAUUGUCGUUAGGGAAGAUACAAGACAGUACCUAAGGAGGAAGCCCCGGCUAACUAUGUG